Non-coding RNA from Schizosaccharomyces pombe (fission yeast), 885 nucleotides. Lineage: Eukaryota; Fungi; Ascomycota; Schizosaccharomycetes; Schizosaccharomycetales; Schizosaccharomycetaceae. The record is from the annotation of a GenBank genome assembly.
GAAAAGCAAAGUAAGCAACAACCAUCACAAGGACAAAGAGCCACAUAGCAGGCUUAACUGGUUGAGAAGAAUCAUAUCCACUUCCACCAGCGGCAGCACCAGUUGUGGGAAGCUGAGGGCCAUCUUCAGUCUAAAAUAUGUUAGAGUGUCGAAGCAAAUUUUUACAAAAAUUUUAACGAGCCUAUGGCGAACGAAGAGAAAAAAUAAAUGACAUACUCUGAGCAAGUUUCCAAUGUAAAAUUUUUCGAGCAACUCCUGAGCAUCCUCAGAGUGACCAACAUCCUCGAAAGGACCGCUAGCAUCACGACCUAAAACAAGUUAAUAAUCACAGAAACGAACAAAAAAAAGCCCCUAGCGAUGGUAGAGAAAGGCAGAAACUUUGUAUAGCCAAUCCAAAAGCCGUAUGUGAAGAAUCGAAGCGAUAUCGUCAAUCAAUCUUUCCAAAAUUAUGUAUUUCAGUGUAUUCAGAGUACUGGAAAUACAAAACAUCGAGUAGAGAGCGAUCAAUCUUGGAACAUAUAGACUGUACUUAACAAUUCACCUUCAAUGACAAUGUCGCAUUAAACAUCGUAUUUAUUCAGGAUAUCGCAUCUAUUUUUGUACGUUCCUACGGCAAAGAUUCGUCCUGAAUCUUUCAAAUUAAAGAACAUGUGUAUAUGCGACACCUAAACUCUCGUGAAAUUCAAAGUUUUGUAACGCUAGUUGUCUGAAACUUCGAUUUCUACGACUCCACACAAUCGCGACCAAUUUUUAUGCAUUACAACCAAUCUUCCUCAAGACCUCCAUUAUCGCGUACCCCUAAAAAUUUACUUACCGGCCAAAUCAACAAGAACCUCUUCACCACCAGGGUGAGCGUCAAGGAACUUGGAAAUAUCAUACACCUUG